This 267-nucleotide ribosomal RNA is filed under the name uncultured Eubacteriales bacterium. RNAcentral's name for it is "uncultured Clostridiales bacterium partial 16S ribosomal RNA". It matches the Rfam family "Bacterial small subunit ribosomal RNA", at positions 74 to 339 of the family's 1533-position model. Lineage: Bacteria; Bacillati; Bacillota; Clostridia; Eubacteriales. The record is from RNAcentral.
AUUCCUUCGGGGAUGAAAGUUAGUGGCGAACGGGUGAGUAAUGUAUGAGCAACCUGCCUCUGUCAACGGGAUAACAGUUGGAAACGACUGCUAAUACGGUAUAUGACCACGGCACCGCAUGGUGCAGCGGUAAAAGAUUUUAUCGGACAGAGAUGGGCUCAUAUCCCAUUAGGUAGUUGGUGAGAUAACAGCCCACCAAGCCGACGAUGGGUAGCCGAGCUGAGAGGCUGAUCGGCCACAUUGGGACUGAAACACGGCCCAGACUCC